RNAcentral lists this transfer RNA (98 nucleotides) under Chloroflexota bacterium. Its description in RNAcentral is "Chloroflexi bacterium (permafrost metagenome) tRNA-OTHER". It matches the Rfam family "Selenocysteine transfer RNA". Lineage: Bacteria; Bacillati; Chloroflexota. The record is from RNAcentral.
GGGGGCGCCGGAACCGGAUGUUCCCGGCGGUCUGCAAAACCGUUAGCCUGUCUGAGACCCAGACGGUGGGUGGGUUCGACUCCCACGCGCCCCCUCCA